AAAAAAAAAAAUGUCUUGUAGGGCACUUGGAAUUAUUAGCUAUUUAUAAGUCAUCUUUAUAUUCCUACUUUAAAGGUCACAAAUUGUUUUUCUUUAAAUAAAUACAUUUCUAGGGUAGGUUGUAAAUUUCUAGUGCUAUUUUAAAAAUAAAAACCUAAAAAGAAUUCUUAGGUAAAGUGAUAGAGAAUUCUAAGAUGGUCCAUCAGAGUUACUGAAGUUUCUCUUUAAACAUUGUUUUUCUAGAACAUUCGAAAUAACUUGUGUAGAUAUUUUGAGUUCUCAAUAACUUAUUUUUUAGCAUUCAAAUUAUGCAUAGAUUUAAAUGCCUUUUGUACUAGAAAUAAUUUUUCUUUUUUUAUUAAUUUAUCUUAAUUUGGUAUAUAUGACAACAGAAUGCAUUUUGAUUCAUUGUACACAAUUGCAGCACAACUUUUCAUUUCUCUGGUUGUACAUGAUGUAGCAUCACACCAUAUGUGCAGUCAAAAUGUACCUAGGGUAAUGACGACCAUCUCAUUGUACCCUCUUUCCUGCCCUCCCUCCCCUUUGCCCAAUCAAAGUUCCUCCAUUUUCCCCAUGCCUCCCCCCUCCCCAUUAUGGAUCACCAUCCACUUAUCAUAGAGACCAUUCUGUCUUUGUUUUGGGGGGAUUGGCUUACUUUGCUUAGCAUGAUAUUCUCCAACUCUACCCAUUUACCUGAAAAUACCAUAAUUUUAUUCUCUGUCAAAAACAUUUUUUACCUUAGUUUUGUAUAUUACACUGCCUGAGUUACACUAUGGUAUGGUAUAUAAGAUCUUUGGUUUUUCAUUAAAACUUCAUACAUUUGGGGGAGCAAUUUGAAGAGUUUAAUGACCACACUCUGAGUAUGAUUGUGAAAUGACUGAAUUCCAUCCAGAUUCCAUCCAGAUUUCUUUCUCAGACUUUCCGGGGAGCUUUUCUUCAUUUUUUUCUCCCUGUUUUCCCCACCUCAAGUUAUGUACAUUGUUUGAAAAAAAGACUUUUGGCAUCUGGAAUAUUUCUCUUGUCCUUUCAAGGUAGUCAUCUGGUAGUAAGCAAGCCUAUCCUCAGUGUCAAAACAGCACUGCCAAUGUAUACAUGGGUUUCCAUAUAUCUGAGCCAACCUGAACAGCUACCAGAAUGGAUCUAGAUGAUUACGAUUUUAUAGUUUAUCCUGAUAUAAUCAGUAAUUGUCACCAAGUAGUGAGAUGGGAGGGUAGGGGUAGGAAUCGGCAGGGUAUCUCUAGCCACAAUUUUAAAGUUUAU
RNAcentral lists this long non-coding RNA (1260 nucleotides) under Marmota monax (woodchuck). The record is from RNAcentral. Lineage: Eukaryota; Metazoa; Chordata; Mammalia; Rodentia; Sciuridae.